ACACAUGCAAGUUCGAGCGGAUGAAAGGAGCUUGCUCCUGGAUUCAGCGGCGGACGGGUGAGUAAUGCCUAGGAAUCUGCCUGGUAGUGGGGGACAACGUUUCGAAAGGAACGCUAAUACCGCAUACGUCCUACGGGAGAAAGCAGGGGACCUUCGGGCCUUGCGCUAUCAGAUGAGCCUAGGUCGGAUUAGCUAGUUGGUGAGGUAAUGGCUCACCAAGGCGACGAUCCGUAACUGGUCUGAGAGGAUGAUCAGUCACACUGGAACUGAGACACGGUCCAGACUCCUACGGGAGGCAGCAGUGGGGAAUAUUGGACAAUGGGCGAAAGCCUGAUCCAGCCAUGCCGCGUGUGUGAAGAAGGUCUUCGGAUUGUAAAGCACUUUAAGUUGGGAGGAAGGGUUGUAGAUUAAUACUCUGCAAUUUUGACGUUACCGACAGAAUAAGCACCGGCUAACUCUGUGCCAGCAGCCGCGGUAAUACAGAGGGUGCAAGCGUUAAUCGGAAUUACUGGGCGUAAAGCGCGCGUAGGUGGUUCGUUAAGUUGGAUGUGAAAUCCCCGGGCUCAACCUGGGAACUGCAUCCAAAACUGGCGAGCUAGAGUAUGGUAGAGGGUGGUGGAAUUUCCUGUGUGUA
Molecule: ribosomal RNA, 634 nt
Filed under: Pseudomonas fluorescens
Lineage: Bacteria; Pseudomonadati; Pseudomonadota; Gammaproteobacteria; Pseudomonadales; Pseudomonadaceae
Description: bacterial SSU rRNA
Rfam family: Bacterial small subunit ribosomal RNA
Source: RNAcentral